GGAGGAAAAGAAACUAACAAGGAUUCCCCUAGUAACGGCGAGUGAAGCGGGAUGAGCUCAAAUUUAAAAUCUUGCAGCCUCAGGUUGUACGAGUUGUAGUCUAGAGAAUCGUUUUCCGCGUUGGCCUGUGUACAAGUCCCUUGGAACAGGGCGUCAUAGAGGGUGAGAAUCCCGUCCUUGACACAGAUUACCAAUGCUUUGUGAUGCGAUCUCGAAGAGUCGAGUUGUUUGGGAAUGCAGCUCAAAAUGGGUGGUAAAUUCCAUCUAAAGCUAAAUAUUGGCGAGAGACCGAUAGCGAACAAGUACCGUGAGGGAAAGAUGAAAAGCACUUUGGAAAGAGAGUUAAACAGUACGUGAAAUUGUUAAAAGGGAAACGAUUGAAGUCAGUCAUGCUCUCCGAGACUCAGCCGAUUCUGUCGGUGUACUUCUCGGUUGGCAGGCCAGCAUCAGUUUUGAUCUGUGGAAAAGGUUGGAGAGAAUGUGGCAUCUUCGGAUGUGUUAUAGCUCUUCUUCGAAUACAUAGAGCGGGACUGAGGAACGCAGCGUGCCCUUUAUUGGGUUGGCCUUCGGGUACAUACACGCUUAGGAUGCUGGCAUAAUGGCUUUAAACGACCCGUCUUGAC
RNAcentral lists this ribosomal RNA (623 nucleotides) under Mrakia aquatica. RNAcentral's name for it is "eukaryotic LSU rRNA". It matches the Rfam family "Eukaryotic large subunit ribosomal RNA", at positions 52 to 658 of the family's 3401-position model. The record is from RNAcentral. Lineage: Eukaryota; Fungi; Basidiomycota; Tremellomycetes; Cystofilobasidiales; Mrakiaceae.